RNAcentral lists this ribosomal RNA (446 nucleotides) under uncultured bacterium. RNAcentral's name for it is "bacterial SSU rRNA". It matches the Rfam family "Bacterial small subunit ribosomal RNA", at positions 330 to 792 of the family's 1533-position model. The record is from RNAcentral.
ACCAGACUCCUACGGGAGGCAGCAGUGGGGGAUAUUGCACAAUGGGGGAAACCCUGAUGCAGCGACGCCGCGUGGGUGAAGAAGUAUUUCGGUAUGUAAAGCCCUCUCAGCAGGGAAGAAAGAAGACGGUACCUGACUAAGGAGCCCCGGCUAACUACGUGCCAGCAGCCGCGGUAAUACGUAGGGGGCGAGCGUUAUCCGGAUUCACUGGGUGUAAAGGGAGCGUAGACGGCCGUGCAAGCCAGGAGUGAAAGCCCGGGGCCCAACCCCGGGACUGCUCUUGGAACUGUGCGGCUGGAGUGCGGGAGGGGCAGGCGGAAUUCCUGGUGUAGCGGUGAAAUGCGUAGAUAUCAGGAGGAACACCGGCGGCGAAGGCGGCCUGCUGGACCGCGACUGACGUUGAGGCUCGAAAGCGUGGGGAGCGAACAGGAUUAGAUACCCGCGUA